Molecule: ribosomal RNA, 506 nt
Filed under: uncultured bacterium
Lineage: Bacteria
Description: partial 16S ribosomal RNA
Rfam family: Bacterial small subunit ribosomal RNA
Source: RNAcentral
AGUGAACGCUGGCGGUAGGCCUAACACAUGCAAGUCGAACGGCAGCACAGGAGAGCUUGCUCUCUGGGUGGCGAGUGGCGGACGGGUGAGGAAUACAUCGGAAUCUACUCUGUCGUGGGGGAUAACGUAGGGAAACUUACGCUAAUACCGCAUACGACCUACGGGUGAAAGCAGGGGAUCUUCGGACCUUGCGCGAUUGAAUGAGCCGAUGUCGGAUUAGCUAGUUGGCGGGGUAAAGGCCCACCAAGGCGACGAUCCGUAUCGGGUCGGAAGGGAUAUUCAGCCACACUGGGACUGAGACACGGUCCAGACUCCUACGGGAGGCAGCAGUGGGAUAUAUUGGACAAUGGGCGCAAGCCUGAUCCAGCCAUACCGCGUGGGUGAAGAAGGCCUUCGGGUUGUAAAGCCCUUUUGUUGGGAAAGAAAUCCAGCUGGCUAAUACCCGGUUGGGAUGACGGUACCCAAAGAAUUAGCACCGGCUAACUUCGUGCCAGCCGCCGCGGUAA